AUACGUAGGGGGCGAGCGUUGUCCGGAAUCAUUGGGCGUAAAGGGCGCGCAGGCGGCCGUCCAAGUCCGGUGUUAAAUGGUCGGGCUCAACCCGAUCAUGCGCUGGAAACUGGGCGGCUGGCGUCCCGGAGGGGAUGCCGGAAUUCCAGGUGUAGGGGUGAAAUCUGUAGAUAUCUGGAAGAACACCGAUGGCGAAGGCAGGCAUCUGGCCGGAGACUGACGCUGAGGCGCGAAGGCGCGGGGAGCGAACAGGUUUAGAUACCCUGGUAGUCCGCGCAGUAAACGAUGCGCACCAGGUGUCGGGCGGCAGCGCCCGGUACCGGAGCAAACGCGAUGAGUGCGCCGCCUGGGGAGUAUGCCCGCAAGGGUGAAACUCAAAGGAAUUGACGGGG
RNAcentral lists this ribosomal RNA (392 nucleotides) under uncultured bacterium. RNAcentral's name for it is "partial 16S ribosomal RNA". It matches the Rfam family "Bacterial small subunit ribosomal RNA", at positions 523 to 918 of the family's 1533-position model. The record is from RNAcentral.